AUCCAGCUGAUGAGUUCCAAACAGGACGAAGCGGGCCACCUAGAU
This 45-nucleotide non-coding RNA is filed under the name Schistosoma margrebowiei. Lineage: Eukaryota; Metazoa; Platyhelminthes; Trematoda; Strigeidida; Schistosomatidae. The record is from RNAcentral.